UGUAUUUUGAACAGGAUAAAGUAAUAAAAAAUAUGCUUCUAACAACAGAUAAGAGGUAAAGUUAUGUAAACAGUAAUUGUAUGCUUUCCAUAUAAUUUCCAAAUGUCAUCCAUAUUUGCAGAGGUGACAAGAUGUUGGAAAUGAUAUCCUAAUAUCUUCUUGUUAGAUGCCAGUAAAGGAAUAAGUGGGGCUUAUUUUUUCUGUGCACAUUUACACUCUGUCAAGUUUUUGGAUAAACCAUAACUUUCUAUGGGAUAAGCAACUGUCAAUGAUAUGGAGAAAAUGACUAUUUUAUUUCCUUGCUCUUAGAACGGAAGUAAUGGAAUAGUUGACUGCUCACCCUCAAAAAUAACACACACCUGAAUACUACAAAACGUGGGAGUUGUGCUCUUUAUGGUGUUUCGUAUCAGACGAGGACAUAGAUAUCUACCAGAAGACUUCCCAAGGUGCUUAUAGUUCCUACAAGGAUUUUGGAAUUUACACUCAUCUGGAAUUAAACCAAAUGGCAGCUGAUGGAAGGGAGCAGCAGUAGCACCCCCAGCCCAGAGCCUUGG
RNAcentral lists this long non-coding RNA (554 nucleotides) under Struthio camelus australis. RNAcentral describes it as "lncRNA (ENSSCUG00000012920.1)". Lineage: Eukaryota; Metazoa; Chordata; Aves; Struthioniformes; Struthionidae. The record is from RNAcentral.